This 282-nucleotide ribosomal RNA is filed under the name Pseudomonas asiatica. Its description in RNAcentral is "partial 16S ribosomal RNA". It matches the Rfam family "Bacterial small subunit ribosomal RNA", at positions 1 to 285 of the family's 1533-position model. The record is from RNAcentral. Lineage: Bacteria; Pseudomonadati; Pseudomonadota; Gammaproteobacteria; Pseudomonadales; Pseudomonadaceae.
GAACUGAAGAGUUUGAUCAUGGCUCAGAUUGAACGCUGGCGGCAGGCCUAACACAUGCAAGUCGAGCGGAUGACGGGAGCUUGCUCCUUGAUUCAGCGGCGGACGGGUGAGUAAUGCCUAGGAAUCUGCCUGGUAGUGGGGGACAACGUUUCGAAAGGAACGCUAAUACCGCAUACGUCCUACGGGAGAAAGCAGGGGACCUUCGGGCCUUGCGCUAUCAGAUGAGCCUAGGUCGGAUUAGCUAGUUGGUGAGGUAAUGGCUCACCAAGGCGACGAUCCGUA